UACGUAGGGUGCGAGCGUUGUCCGGAAUUAUUGGGCGUAAAGAGCUCGUAGGCGGUUUGUCACGUCUGCUGUGAAAUCCCGAGGCUCAACCUCGGGCCUGCAGUGGGUACGGGCAGACUGGAGUGCGGUAGGGGAGAAUGGAAUUCCUGGUGUAGCGGUGGAAUGCGCAGAUAUCAGGAGGAACACCGAUGGCGAGGGCAGUUCUCUGGGAAUGUCCUGACGCUGAGGAGCGAAAGUGUGGGGAGCGAACAGG
Molecule: ribosomal RNA, 253 nt
Filed under: uncultured bacterium
Lineage: Bacteria
Description: partial 16S ribosomal RNA
Rfam family: Bacterial small subunit ribosomal RNA
Source: RNAcentral